Molecule: ribosomal RNA, 429 nt
Filed under: Acidobacteriota bacterium
Lineage: Bacteria; Pseudomonadati; Acidobacteriota
Description: Acidobacteria bacterium partial 16S ribosomal RNA
Rfam family: Bacterial small subunit ribosomal RNA
Source: RNAcentral
UGGGGAAUUUUGGACAAUGGGGGAAACCCUGAUCCAGCCAUCCCGCGUGUGCGAUGAAGGCCUUCGGGUUGUAAAGCACUUUUGGCAGGAAAGAAACGUCAUGGGUUAAUACCCCGUGAAACUGACGGUACCUGCAGAAUAAGCACCGGCUAACUACGUGCCAGCAGCCGCGGUAAUACGUAGGGUGCAAGCGUUAAUCGGAAUUACUGGGCGUAAAGCGUGCGCAGGCGGUUCGGAAAGAAAGAUGUGAAAUCCCAGAGCUCAACUUUGGAACUGCAGUUGUAACUACCGGGCUAGAGUGUGUCAGAGGGAGGUGGAAUUCCGCGUGUAGCAGUGAAAUGCGUAGAUAUGCGGAGGAACACCGAUGGCGAAGGCAGCCUCCUGGGAUAACACUGACGCUCAUGCACGAAAGCGUGGGGAGCAAACAGG